This is a non-coding RNA of Paramuricea clavata, 854 nucleotides long. The record is from the annotation of a GenBank genome assembly. NCBI's taxonomy places the organism in Eukaryota, Metazoa, Cnidaria, Anthozoa, Malacalcyonacea, Plexauridae.
CUCUACUCUGUUGAACGCCUAUUCUACUCGUAAAGGGGAGAGCCCUGGUGCUUAAUGGGUUAAAUAAGAUCGUAUAGUUAUAUGUAUAUCAUGUAUUAUGUUUUUAUGUAGUCUGCCUGAAUCACUUGUACCAGGCUAUGGAAAUUCAUGUUUCCAAUUUUGUAUUUAUUUUUCUUAUGAUACAGCAUACUGUAAAUUUGAAUAAUAUUUGUGAGCUUAUAGUGAGCUUAUUUUUAGGAGAGUUUGUUGCGAGGCAGCAUAUAUUUUGAUUUUUCAAAAUAUUACUGUAUAUUGGUAUGUUAUACUUAAUAUUAGAAUGUUAGGGUUUGGAAUCCAAGUGAGAAUAUAUACAUUUUAAGACCUAACCAGGAACGACUGCGAAAAAUGCAGCACAAGGUCCUCUGGUAGGAAUCAAACCUACGGCCCUGCGAUUCCGGUGCAGCGCUCUAACCAACUGAGCUACAGAGGCCAGCCGUUAAGCUGUAACCGUUAAGUUCAUGUAUAUAUAGGUAAUCAGGUGUGCGGGUUGUGAUAAGGUGGACUUCAUGACUUAGAUUCUGCACUUCACUUGGUGGAAUUAAUAUUAGAAUGAAUCCAAGUGAGAAUAUAUACAUUUUAAGACCUAACCAGGAACAACUGCAAAAAAUGCAGCACAAGGUCCUCUGGUAGGAAUCAAACCUACGGCCCUGCGAUUCCGGUGCAGCGCUCUGAGCUACAGAGGCCAGCUGUUAAGCUGUAACCGUAAGUUCAUGUAUAUAUAGGUAAUCGGGUGUGUGAGUUGUGAUAAGGUGGACUUCAUCAUGAUUCUAAUAUUAAUUCCACCAAGUGAAGUGCAGAAUCUAAGUCAUGUUAUA